UACGGAGGGUGCAAGCGUUAAUCGGAAUUACUGGGCGUAAAGCGUACGUAGGCGGCUUGUUAAGCAAGAUGUGAAAUCCCCGGGCUCAACCUGGGAAUGGCAUUUUGAACUGGCAGGCUCGAGUUCUGAAGAGGGUGGUAGAAUUUCCAGUGUAGCGGUGAAAUGCGUAGAUAUUGGAAGGAAUACCGGUGGCGAAGGCGGCCACCUGGUCAGAAACUGACGCUGAGGUGCGAGAGCGUGGGGAGCAAACAGG
RNAcentral lists this ribosomal RNA (253 nucleotides) under uncultured microorganism. RNAcentral describes it as "partial 16S ribosomal RNA". It matches the Rfam family "Bacterial small subunit ribosomal RNA", at positions 524 to 776 of the family's 1533-position model. The record is from RNAcentral.